Molecule: ribosomal RNA, 511 nt
Filed under: uncultured Glomus
Lineage: Eukaryota; Fungi; Glomeromycota; Glomeromycetes; Glomerales; Glomeraceae
Description: SSU rRNA
Rfam family: Eukaryotic small subunit ribosomal RNA
Source: RNAcentral
CUGGGGGGGCAAGUCUGGUGCCAGCAGCCGCGGUAAUUCCAGCUCCAAUAGCGUAUAUUAAAGUUGUUGCAGUUAAAAAGCUCGUAGUUGAAUUUCGAGAUCGGCUUACUGGUCGUGCUUUUGUACGUACUGGUAUAAUCGGUUUCUCCUUUCUGACGAACUUUAAUGCCAUUAAUUUGGUGUUUUAGGGAAUCAGGACUGUUACUUUGAAAAAAUUAGAGUGUUUAAAGCAGGCUCACGCUUGAAUACAUUAGCAUGGAAUAACGGAAUAGGACGUUUGAUUCUAUUUUGUUGGUUUCUAGGAUCGACGUAAUGAUUAAUAGGGAUAGUUGGGGGCAUUAGUAUUCAAUUGUCAGAGGUGAAAUUCUUGGAUUUAUUGAAGACUAACUACUGCGAAAGCAUUUGCCAAGGAUGUUUUCAUUAAUCAAGAACGAAAGUUAGGGGAUCGAAGACGAUCAGAUACCGUCGUAGUCUUAACCAUAAACUAUGCCGACUAGGGAUCGGAUGAUGU